CCUACGGGAGGCAGCAGUGGGGAAUAUUGCACAAUGGGUGAAAGCCUGAUGCAGCGACGCCGCGUGAGCGAAGAAGUAUUUCGGUAUGUAAAGCUCUAUCAGCAGGGAAGAUAAUGACGGUACCUGACUAAGAAGCACCGGCUAAAUACGUGCCAGCAGCCGCGGUAAU
Molecule: ribosomal RNA, 169 nt
Filed under: uncultured bacterium
Lineage: Bacteria
Description: partial 16S ribosomal RNA
Rfam family: Bacterial small subunit ribosomal RNA
Source: RNAcentral